UGUGAAAGAAGUGGAAUGAGAAGAAAAGAGGGAGAGUGAAAGAAAGGGCUCAAGGAGAAGAAAAAGGAAAUUAGGGCAAACUUGGCAAGAAGAUCCCCAGCAAUUGGUGCCUGAUUUCAUCACUUUCGUGAGAAGAGCAACCUUGCUAGACUUUCCGAGAAAACUCGAUUGGUGUGAAUUCAAAAUCUGGUCAUUAGACAUAUCAAGAGUAUACUUGUGAUGGAUAGCUUAGUGCGAAUCGUUGAGCGACCGCCAUUUUAGUAGUAGUUAAGGAAGACUUAUAUUUUGUAU
Long non-coding RNA from Dioscorea cayenensis subsp. rotundata (Guinea yam), 291 nucleotides. RefSeq lists it as uncharacterized. The record is from RefSeq and is a predicted model, not a curated record. NCBI's taxonomy places the organism in Eukaryota, Viridiplantae, Streptophyta, Magnoliopsida, Dioscoreales, Dioscoreaceae. The transcript has 3 exons.